GUGAGGAAUUUUCCGCAAUGGGCGAAAGCCUGACGGAGCAAUGCCGCGUGAAGGAUGAAGGCCUAUGGGUUGUAAACUUCUUUUCUCAGAAAAGAAUUAUGACGGUAUCUGAGGAAUAAGCAUCGGCUAACUCUGUGCCAGCAGCCGCGGUAAGACAGAGGAUGCAAGCGUUAUCCGGAAUGAUUGGACGUAAAGCGUCUGUAGGUUGUUUAAAAAGUAUUCUGUCAAAGAUUAGGGCUUAACCCUAGAUAGGCAGAAUAAACUUUUAAGCUAGAGUUUGGUAGAGGCAGAGGGAAUUCCCGGUGGAGCGGUGAAAUGCGUAGAUAUCGGGAGGAACACCAAAGGCGAAGGCACUCUGCUGGGCCAAUACUAACACUGAGAGACGAAAGCGAGGGGAGCAAAUGGGAUUAGAAACCCUGGUAGUCC
Molecule: ribosomal RNA, 426 nt
Filed under: uncultured bacterium
Lineage: Bacteria
Description: bacterial SSU rRNA
Rfam family: Bacterial small subunit ribosomal RNA
Source: RNAcentral